Molecule: long non-coding RNA, 1281 nt
Organism: Myzus persicae (green peach aphid)
Lineage: Eukaryota; Metazoa; Arthropoda; Insecta; Hemiptera; Aphididae
Exons: 7
Source: RefSeq, a predicted model, not a curated record
AAAAAGUGUUAAUUUGUUUUGAGUUUCCAACUGUCGAGUUUAUCGAAACAUUAGUAUUUAGUUAUUUUAAGUUUUAACUCUUUUUUUAAAUAUAAAUAAUUAUUUUUGGGAUAAUGGCCACCAAAAAAAAAAAUACAAGAGGGUGUGUAUUUUAUCUGAAGUCCCCAUAUAAAACCCCAAGUAUCUCUACACUCGUAAGUCAAAUCUUUUCUAUAAUAUUGCAUCAUUUUAUACAGGAGGAGAUAUCACAGAAGUAUUUCGAAAAAGAAAAGGAUUUUUCUCAGUUAAUGUACAAGUUAUAUGCAAUGCAAAUUUGUCUAUAACCAAUGUUGCUGGCCUAGUUCAACUCACAAAGUUACACUUUUUAUAAAUUCAAGAGUACAUGCAGAAUUUGAAUCGAGGGAGUAUUCUAUUAUACUAUUUAUCUCUUAGUAGGAGAGAGUGGCUAUCAUGCUUAAAAUAUCUAUUGACACUAUUGCUAAUUCCACUUACAUAAAUUGAACAAGGAACGGAAUUGAAAGAUAUUUUGGAGUACUAUAAAGAAGAUAUCCUAUGUUGGCGUACGGAAUCCGAUUAAAAAAUAUGGACACCAUCAUGGCUGUAUUGAGGUCCACAUGUACUCUAAAUAAAAUUGCAAUCAUGUUUAAAGAAUCGACAACAAAUUUGGAUGCAGAAGAAAACUUAGAUUUUAAAUUGUUGAUUCAUAAUCCUAACAACAUAAAUGGGUUUAACGAACAGCAAUAUGAAGAUGAUGUAAACGAGGUUACUCAAAGAGCUCAUCUGAUCAACAAUUAUUUUGGACGAUUAUAAAUUAGAAUUUAUUGGUUAAGUCUUAUCUGUGACAUUAAACAAAUAAAUCCAAGAAUUGUUUCCCAAAAAUUAAUCCAAACGGUCUUUAUGGCUUAUAGCUAGUAUUUUUACUAAAGAAGAUUUCAAGCCUUUUAGGAAACUUUGUGCUCUCCAUUUUGACAAAGAUUAUUUCAAAGCUGAAACUUAACUGAACAUUUUAAAACCAAAUUUAGUUCACACAAAGUUUGAAAAAUGAUCAAAAGAAUCUUUUGAAUCAACGUCCUUGAGUAAAAUGCCCGAGUUACUAACAUACCAAAUUUGCGAGCAGCCUGCUUCAACAUAAAACAGUGAAAUGGACACUUUUAAAAUGAAUGGUUGUUAAAAAAACCUAUAAGAAUGGAUUAACCUAUUAUCAAACUUAAAGAUACUCCUAACCGAAAGCUGCGGAAAUAUUUUGUAGGCAAUAGAACUAUUCCAGAUUUUGCCUCUCUG